GUGCCAGCAGCCGCGGUAAUACGUAGGAUGCAAGCGUUGUCCGGAAUUAUUGGGCGUAAAGAGAACGUAGGUGGCUUGUUAAGUUCGGUCUUAAAGACCGGGGCUCAACCCCGGGAAUGGACUGAAAACUGGCAGGCUAGAGGAUGUCAGAGGAUGGUGGAAUUCCAAGUGUAGCGGUGAAAUGCGUAGAUAUUUGGAGGAACACCUGUGGCGAAAGCGGCCAUCUGGGACAUUCCUGACACUGAGGUUCGAAAGCUCGGGGAGCAAACAGGAUUAGAUACCCUGGUAGUCC
RNAcentral lists this ribosomal RNA (292 nucleotides) under uncultured bacterium. RNAcentral's name for it is "partial 16S ribosomal RNA". It matches the Rfam family "Bacterial small subunit ribosomal RNA", at positions 505 to 796 of the family's 1533-position model. The record is from RNAcentral.